Molecule: ribosomal RNA, 406 nt
Filed under: uncultured bacterium
Lineage: Bacteria
Description: partial 16S ribosomal RNA
Rfam family: Bacterial small subunit ribosomal RNA
Source: RNAcentral
AUUGAACGCUGGCGGCAGGCCUAACACAUGCAAGUCGAACGAGUGGCGGACGGGUGAGUAAUGUCUGGGAAACUGCCUGAUGGAGGGGGAUAACUACUGGAAAAGGUAGCUAAUACCGCAUACCAUCGGAUGUUCCCAGAUGGGAUUAGCUAGUAGGGGGGGGAAAGGCUCACCUAGGCGACGAUCCCUAGCUGGUCUGAGAGGAGAACCAGCCACACUGGAACGGAGACACGGUCCAGACUCCUAGGGGAGGAAGCAGUGGGGACGAUUGCACAAUGGGCGAAAGCCUGAUGCAGCCAUGCCGCGUGUAUGAAGAAGGCCUUCGGGUUGUAAAGUACUUUCAGCGGGGAGGCGUUACCCGCAGAAGAAGCACCGGCUAACUCCGUGCCAGCAGCCGCGGUAAUUC